UUUUACCCGGCUACCAAGGGAGGGGGAUAACACACACACACACAAAAAAAAUUCUAAAAUGAUAAAAUGAUAAUAAAGCUUACAAAAGGACAACGAUACCGACACAAAUAUCAGAUGAGACAAUUUUGAUAGCAGACGAAUUAAACAGCGAGAUUUCCUUCUGCCGCUGUCAUAACGGAGGGAAGCAAUUUCAUGCUAAUUAAUUAGCACUGGCUACUUCUUCCUGUAUGUUUGCUCUGAGAUCUCCCAGCUCUUGACAGCUCAGCCUGCAAAAUGCCAUUUCCUCUCCGCACAGCAACACUGCAAGUAAUCGUAUGAAGGCCUGAUGCUUCUGGACACGUACCUCGUUCCUGAUUUGCAUAUGUAAUGCAGCCAUACUUAAUGAAUCAAAGAAUAAAUGGUUUCAGCACAACUGGUCAAAGUCAGGACGUGAAUACAAAGAUCAGG
Molecule: long non-coding RNA, 447 nt
Organism: Pseudophryne corroboree (corroboree frog)
Lineage: Eukaryota; Metazoa; Chordata; Amphibia; Anura; Myobatrachidae
Exons: 3
Source: RefSeq, a predicted model, not a curated record